This 354-nucleotide unclassified non-coding RNA is filed under the name soil metagenome. RNAcentral's name for it is "partial contains 5.8S ribosomal RNA, internal transcribed spacer 2, and large subunit ribosomal RNA". The stretch from base 1 to 120 matches the Rfam family "5.8S ribosomal RNA", at positions 35 to 154 of the family's 154-position model. The record is from RNAcentral.
GAUGAAGAACGUAGCGAAAUGCGAUAAGUAAUGUGAAUUGCAGAAUUCAGUGAAUCAUCGAAUCUUUGAACGCACAUUGCGCCCGCCAGUAUUCUGGCGGGCAUGCCUGUUCGAGCGUCAUUACAACCCUCAGGCCCCCGGGCCUGGCGUUGGGGAUCGGCGGAAGCCCCCUGCGGGCACAACGCCGUCCCCCAAAUACAGUGGCGGUCCCGCCGCAGCUUCCAUUGCGUAGUAGCUAACACCUCGCGACUGGAGAGCGGCGCGGCCACGCCGUAAAACACCCAACUCUUCUGAAGUUGACCUCGAAUCAGGUAGGAAUACCCGCUGAACUUAAGCAUAUCAAUAAGCGGAGGA